UUUAAGUCUGCUACUCAAACCCUUUUCACAAAUGAAAGAGGGAAUUUCCGCGCUCAAAUUUUCGUCAGUCCCGCAAACCUUUUCACAACCCUAACCUAAAACCCUUUCAGCUUUAAUUCGCGUGUACUUCUUCAACCUGCCGUUGCGUCUCCUCACACGAGUUAGAUUUUUUUUCUACCUUGGUACAGUCAUCGGCGAGUGAAACUUAUGGUGGUUGUUAUGAGUUUUCUAUCGAGUCUCAGAAUCGUAAAAUCAUUUUUCUCACUCAUAUUAUGUGCAAAGAAACUUAAUGAAGGUAAGAUGUUUGUUUCAAUUUGGGGAUUUAGGGUUUAUUCAUUUUAAUGCCCAUGGAAUCAUUUGUUGAUUGUGUUUGUUUUGAUUUUGGAAUUUAGGUUUUGUUUCUUUUAUUUCCAAACUACUGGUACUUCUUAUGUCUAUUUCAGGAGGAAUUGUUUUUUAAGAGAAAUAUUUUAGGCUGUGGAUACGGAUAGAAGUGGUAUAAUAACUCUCAAAGAAAUCAAAGCUGGUCUAAGAAGAUAUGUGUCUAUCAUUUGGUUUGGUUCUAAUUUGCAGAGAGUAAGAGUAAGGGGGUUUUGAUUUUAAGUUGGUAGUUCAGAUAGGUCUUUUUACAAUGAUUUGGAAAAGGUAUCUCAAGAUCAAAGACUCCGCGAGCAGGUUCGUUCAGUUUGGCAUUUGUACGUUUCAAUUAGAUUCAUCCAACCAGCCAUUUGAAGCUUAUAUCAAGGAUAGUUAUGUUGAAGGAUCACCAUAAUUCAAUAGUCAUAGAGAAAGAAAGCAACACAACAUCUAUGUUAGAGGCAAGU
Vicia villosa (hairy vetch) is the source of this 824-nucleotide long non-coding RNA. RefSeq lists it as uncharacterized. Lineage: Eukaryota; Viridiplantae; Streptophyta; Magnoliopsida; Fabales; Fabaceae. The record is from RefSeq and is a predicted model, not a curated record. The transcript has 3 exons.